GUGCUCACUUCAGCAGCACCUACACUAAAAUUGGAACGAUACAGAGAGGAGCCUGGCCCCUGCACAAGGAUGACACGCAAAUUCGUGGAACAUUCCAUACUUAA
Hyaena hyaena (striped hyena) is the source of this 104-nucleotide small nuclear RNA. The record is from RefSeq and is a predicted model, not a curated record. Lineage: Eukaryota; Metazoa; Chordata; Mammalia; Carnivora; Hyaenidae.